RNAcentral lists this ribosomal RNA (466 nucleotides) under uncultured bacterium. RNAcentral's name for it is "partial 16S ribosomal RNA". It matches the Rfam family "Bacterial small subunit ribosomal RNA", at positions 28 to 507 of the family's 1533-position model. The record is from RNAcentral.
GACGAACGCUGGCGGCGCGCCUAACACAUGCAAGUCGAACGAGCGAGAGAGAGCUUGCUUUCUCGAGCGAGUGGCGAACGGGUGAGUAACGCGUGAGGAACCUGCCUCAAAGAGGGGGACAACAGUUGGAAACGACUGCUAAUACCGCAUAAGCCCACGGCUCGGCAUCGAGCAGGGGGAAAAGGAGCAAUCCGCUUUGAGAUGGCCUCGCGUCCGAUUAGCUAGUUGGUGAGGUAACGGCCCACCAAGGCGACGAUCGGUAGCCGGACUGGGAGGUUGAACGGCCACAUUGGGACUGAGACACGGCCCAGACUCCUACGGGAGGCAGCAGUGGGGAAUAUUGCACAAUGGGGGAAACCCUGAUGCAGCGACGCCGCGUGGAGGAAGAAGGUCUUCGGAUUGUAAACUCCUGUUGUUGGGGAAGAUAAUGACGGUACCCAACAAGGAAGUGACGGCUAACUACGUG